This 492-nucleotide ribosomal RNA is filed under the name uncultured bacterium. Its description in RNAcentral is "partial 16S ribosomal RNA". It matches the Rfam family "Bacterial small subunit ribosomal RNA", at positions 29 to 507 of the family's 1533-position model. The record is from RNAcentral.
AGUGAACGCUGGCGGUAGGCCUAACACAUGCAAGUCGAACGGCAGCACAGUAAGAGCUUGCCCUUACGGGUGGCGAGUGGCGGACGGGUGAGGAAUACAUCGGAAUCUACUUUUUCGUGGGGGAUAACGUAGUGAAACUUACGCUAAUACCGCAUACGACCUACGGGUUAAAGCAGGGGAUCUUCGGACCUUGCGCGAUUGAAUGAGCCGCUGUCGGAUUAGCUAGUUGGCGGGGUAAAGGCCCACCAAGGCGACGAUCCGUAGCUGGUCUGAGAGGAUGAUCAGCCACACUGGAACUGAGACACGGUCCAGACUCCUACGGGAGGCAGCAGUGGGGAAUAUUGGACAAAGGGCGCAAGCCUGAUCCAGCCAUACCGCGUGGGUGAAGAAGGCCUUCGGGUUGUAAAGCCCUUUUGUUGGGAAAGAAAAGCAGCAGGUUAAUACCCCGCUGUUCUGACGGUACCCAAAGAAUAAGCACCGGCUAACUUCGUG